Molecule: long non-coding RNA, 238 nt
Filed under: Mytilus galloprovincialis (Mediterranean mussel)
Lineage: Eukaryota; Metazoa; Mollusca; Bivalvia; Mytilida; Mytilidae
Source: RNAcentral
CAAUGAAUCCUGAAUUACAUGUAAACAUAUAUUGUGCAUGUAAUUCAGGAUUCAUUGCUAGUCCGUAUUGGAAAUAUUGGCCCUAUAUUCACAUCAUUGCAAGUCCGUAUUGGAAAUAUUGGCCCUAUAUUCACAUUUGAUGUAUGUAAUACAGCAUUCAGAACAAGUCUGUAUUGAAAAAGUUUGAUUAUUUAAUAAAAGUGUUAUGAACUGGCUGUUUCUGUAUUGAGACUGGUAU